This is a long non-coding RNA of Branchiostoma floridae (Florida lancelet), 1140 nucleotides long. RefSeq lists it as uncharacterized. Lineage: Eukaryota; Metazoa; Chordata; Leptocardii; Amphioxiformes; Branchiostomatidae. The record is from RefSeq and is a predicted model, not a curated record. The transcript has 3 exons.
AAGCUUUCAAGUUUGAUGCAACGUAAACCAAGCUGAUUACGAACACAGCAGUCAUUUCGCUGCCAGGCAGAGAGGAGACAACACGGCUCUGGGACCUGUCUCUGAUGAUUAAUAGCGACUGCCCCCACGCACUGCAAUUCGGUCGGGCAAGAGAGAUCCACACGAACUCCUACCGCCGCAAGGGACGUCGCUGAUGGCUUACACUGGAAGACGAGCUGUAUCACUGAAGGGAAGGACAUCCGUGUGCAAAUUGCUACAAGGGGACUGAGGCUGGGUGCCAUGCAAAACCAGAAACAAUGUUGCCCGAAGGAGCAAGGCCAUGAGAGGGAAAUGCCAGACCGGCAGCAGAGCCGCGUGCAACCAAGCGAUUGCGCUGCUAUUGAAGGAAAAACUGACUGCAGUUAGAGAAUUCAUGGACUAACAUACAUGUGCUGUCUGCGUUAUUUGACUUUUACGAUUACCUGUUGUCUAUUCUAUUAUGUCAUAUUAAGGAAUGUAAAAAAAUAAUUCAAUUGACCUAGACAACGACGGUCUAAAGGGUGGAUAUACGAAUGGUAGACAUCCCAACCAAAUGUAUAUGAAAUCUUUAUUGACACGACAAAAGUACAGCGACUUUCGUGAGGAUUAUAACAAGUACAUACAAUACAACUAAGCAGACGUAUAUGCAUAUUUACAGAUAUGAAUAAGUCAACAUGUUAUUUCUAGCAUGUCAUUUACAUAAUUCAAACGUUGCCUGCAAAUUUCUUGAGUUACAAACAGACUUUUACCAAUCUAACGUUUUCGGGAGUUUCUCAACGCUACAAAUACACGUCCAUGCAGCCGUUUACUUUUUGGGACUUUUUGGAUCUCGGAGUAAUACGUCAAUGGGACCUUACAAGUAUAUUGUGCAUACAAGCUGCAGCAGCCUUUCACUCCGUCACUUACAAGAAGAUACAACACAACGUUUGCUAGAUAUAAUAAUGUAUUAAUGUAGUGAUGUAUUAUUGUACUAUGAUUGUUAUUCUUAGACAGUUAUUCGUUUGAUGACGUAAACUGCAACAGACCGAGAUGUACAAGUAACCAAUGUUGAGUGAUAUGAGCGGAGUUGAGUAGAUGUCUGUCAGGUAAAACAGAAUACAAAGACGGAAGAUUUCUACGGCA